Ruditapes philippinarum (Manila clam) is the source of this 486-nucleotide long non-coding RNA. RefSeq lists it as uncharacterized. The transcript is spliced from 3 exons. Lineage: Eukaryota; Metazoa; Mollusca; Bivalvia; Venerida; Veneridae. The record is from RefSeq and is a predicted model, not a curated record.
AUCACAUGAUGAACAUAACGCGAAGAACAAAAUCGUGCAUUGACGCCAACUUCGAUAAGAUUAUAUUACUAGGAAAAGUCGUGCUGGUUUUAGGGUAUUUUGUAUAUUUUGGUUUUGCAUUAGCCUAUCAUAUCGGUGAUGAGGGAUCUUGGAGACUUGUUUGGUGUACAGCUUUAGGAGUAUGGAUGGUAUGCUGGGGGAUUACUGAAAAGCGAUCAAAUGUUACACCGGUUGGUCAUCAGCCGUCGACAAAUUGUUUGCCGAGUAUUCGAAAGGCAGGCGAACUCGAUAUUUAGAUGGUCUUUGUAUUUCUUGAUGACAGCAUUUAUGGUUGUUUAUUUGAUACUAUUUGUGGCGAUAAAAACACCGGAAAAUCUCAAAUCUUUAAUUGGACUUUUUGUUUUUCCUUUUUUGAUGUUUCUGUAUUCUAAUAAUAGACGAAAGAUAAAUUGGCACACCAUUUACUGGUCGAUGGCUUUGCAAAUU